RNAcentral lists this long non-coding RNA (574 nucleotides) under Mus spicilegus (steppe mouse). Its description in RNAcentral is "lncRNA (ENSMSIG00000022694.1)". Lineage: Eukaryota; Metazoa; Chordata; Mammalia; Rodentia; Muridae. The record is from RNAcentral.
ACCACUCCCUUAUUUGUGAUGAAACACUGAGAGAACUUGUGCAGAGGCUGUAGAUAACUUCAUGAGCACAAGGCCAUUUUAUGUUCAGAAAAUGUCCGAACUUAUGAAUGUCCUCAUCUUCCAUCAGAGUCAGGAUGGGAUUCGGAGGCAUGUAAGUUGAACCAGUCAUUAUCCUUCAUUACAAAAACAUGUUUCCAGCCGCAGACUGUACUGGCUUCAGUGACUUUACUAGCACUGUCAGUUUGGAGCAUGUAGGUGCUGCCAAAGGACCUUUUGAGAACAGUUCUGUCUCGGUUGUUUGCUUAUCUGCUGCCAUGGAAACAGAUGAUGCAGCAGCAGGGACGGGAGAGGACUGACUAACUCCAGCACAUAUUCUAGCACUGCGUGAGUAGCCAUCAGCGUUCUCAGGGGCAGCAGAUGUUGGCAAAUGGCUCUUUUGCUGCAUUGUGUCGAGCUGCGCUGCAGCUGCUUUGUGGACAUUCGUCAGCCGGAGACUGCUUUCCUGCACCUAAUUAGCAUGGUUGGUAACCUUCCAUUUUGGUCAUACUGGGAGUCAUAUGCCACUAUGUCUGAG